Molecule: unclassified non-coding RNA, 406 nt
Filed under: soil metagenome
Description: partial contains 5.8S ribosomal RNA, internal transcribed spacer 2, and large subunit ribosomal RNA
Rfam family: 5.8S ribosomal RNA (bases 1-121)
Source: RNAcentral
GAUGAAGAACUCAGCGAAAUGCGAUAAGUAAUGUGAAUUGCAGAAUUCAGUGAAUCAUCGAAUCUUUGAACGCACCUUGCGCCCUUUGGCCAUUCCGAAGGGCAUGCCUGUUUGAGUAUCAUGAACACCUCAACUCUUCAUGGUUUUCCGUGAUGAGCUUGGACUUUGGGGGUCUUGCUGGCCCAUGGUCAGCUCCUCUAAAAUAAAUCAGCUUGCCAGUGUUUGGUGGGUAUCACAGGUGUGAUAACUAUCUACGCUUGUGGUUUUCCACCAGGUAACCUUCAGCAGUGGAGGUUCGCUGGAGCUCACAGAUGUGUCUCUCCUCAGUGAGGACAGCUCUUUGAAUGUUUGAUCUCAAAUCAGGUAGGACUACCCGCUGAACUUAAGCAUAUUAAUAAGCGGAGGA